This 1642-nucleotide unclassified non-coding RNA is filed under the name Hevea brasiliensis (rubber tree). Lineage: Eukaryota; Viridiplantae; Streptophyta; Magnoliopsida; Malpighiales; Euphorbiaceae. The record is from RNAcentral.
CAGCAAUCAAGAAGUCCUUGCCAUAAAUAAAUAAAAAUUUGUGAAUAUUUUAAUGAAGUAUUUUAUAAGUUUUCGUAAACAACAAACCAAAAGCAUACGGUAGUCAUCUAUCGGUGCAAGCCCAUUAAGGGUUGAGGGUCAACAAAAUAUUGACAAAGCCGAAUGUAGAAGCGAAAAUGAGCCCUAGAUAAGGCCUGUUUUAAAUUUGAGGCCCAUCUUAGCCGAGAGUUACACCGACUGAGGCAGGAAAAAAAUGGAACUCGCUACAAUAAACACCGGAGGAAGGGUCUUUGGAUUGUCCUGAGAUGGUACGCAAUUUUCCGGUCAAUAAGGCGAUCCCCAGUAUGCUUCUUCACUAAGAUGAGGUCUGAGCUGAUUGGGUAAUUGUGGAACACGGCAAACCCCCUCCCCCCACCCCGGCUUCCUUCGAAUACAAACUGAGAAUUCGAGUUCCAAUCAGGAAUUAAAUGAAAAAAGAAAAGAAAGAAAACCCACCAUUGCAAUGGCCAUGCAUGUUUCUUUCAAGCAUUCACUGAGGAAGAAUGAGCCUGCAAAAACUUGUAACAAUCUAACACUGUCAAAAAUAAAAUUCAAUGGUACAAACAAACGUUGCUGUAAUUUUUUUUUUUUUUGUGAAAACUGCUGUAAUUAUUUUGGGCAAAUUUAAAUUAGAAAACUGUAAGCCUCUGAUGAACUCAAGAGCCCCGUAUACGCUUUCAACUCUCUUUGCGUCGUGGUGUUUCACCAGGGGAAGGAGGUACACCGAAAACCCAGUCUAGAACAUUAAGGUACUUGGACCGGAACACUUCCCUUUCCUGUGCAUAACAGUGCAUGAUUAUAGCUGUUGAGAUACUGAAGAUCAACACAUCGGCUCUCUUCAGAUUCUUUGCCUGCGGCAAAUAUUCAACAUCGGCCAUACAUGUAAAGAAGCUUUCAAUUGCUCGUGCAAGGCAGUAGAGUGAUAUCUCAAUCCGCCUGCUUUUCUUCUCUAUUGCCAGGGCUAGGCCAGUAGGAAACUGAGCAAGACACCAAGUGAUACUUCAAAACAUAAUCAAUUAUAUUUCUCUCUACUAAUAUGAAUUGUUGAAGUUCCUAUACCGUCCCCAUUGCCACCAUUGGAAUGUUACAUCUCCUGAAGAUUCUAAAGAGCACACAUGUCCACAUCCUGAUGACCAUCCAUAGGAAUUUUUCAUUAAACAUUAUUAAAAUUUAUGAAAACCAACAAUUAUUUUUAGUUUGAGAUUUCUCCUUGCUCUGUUUCCAUCAUGCCUUUAAAAGAAAAAUGGCUAUAGUUAGGUCAUUUAUGUCCACCUGUUCAAGUUGAAUAGGAUGUAAACUACCAGAAUAAAAGCACAUGGCCUAGUUCUGAAUCACGAUAAGUAUACACGACAAUGACUUCAUUAAUUGCUUCUAUGUGCAUCAAGUCAGUGCAUGUGUGAUGUUAAUGCACCUUAACAAUUGCACACAGAACAUAAAUAACCUGAUGCGCAAAAAUUCUCCUAGUCAAAAAGGGAAACAUCAUCAAGAACUGGGAAAAAUAUGAUGAAUGGACCUUUUAAAAAGAAAAAACAUCUAUGGUUUCUCGGCAAAAAGUAGUAUACUAAAGGAAUGAGCACCGACCAGGCAGAUGAGCAAUAUGUGG